GACGAACUGUCCUAACGUUGUUCGGAAUCACUGGGCUUAAAGGGCGCGUAGGCGGUCCGACAAGUCAGGGGUGAAAUCCUGCAGCUUAACUGCAGAAGUGCCUUUGAUACUGUCGGUCUUGAGGGAGAUAGGGGUGUGCGGAACUCACAGUGGAGCGGUGAAAUGCGUUGAUAUGACCCGGAACACCUAUUGCGAAGGCAGCAGGCUAAGCGAAGAUUGACGCUGAGGCUCGAAAGCGUGGGGAUCAAACAGG
RNAcentral lists this ribosomal RNA (253 nucleotides) under uncultured bacterium. RNAcentral describes it as "partial 16S ribosomal RNA". It matches the Rfam family "Bacterial small subunit ribosomal RNA", at positions 524 to 776 of the family's 1533-position model. The record is from RNAcentral.